Molecule: long non-coding RNA, 1237 nt
Organism: Fukomys damarensis (Damara mole-rat)
Lineage: Eukaryota; Metazoa; Chordata; Mammalia; Rodentia; Bathyergidae
Exons: 3
Source: RefSeq, a predicted model, not a curated record
AGACUCUUGAGUAGCUGGGAUUACAGGCAUGUGCCACCACACCUGGCUGGGUGGUUUCUACCUUUUGGACUUCUUCUUUGAUGCCUUACUGCCAUAAAAUGAUUCUCCCUCAAAGAAACCUGGGUACACAAGCAUCGAGGUCCUGGCAGGGGGCUCUCAAAGAGAGAUUCCCAGAGCAGCCUGUGAUCUGCAACCUGCAAAGAAGAAAGGAUGAGAAGCUGGUUUAAUACAUUUUCACCACACACUUACCCCCAAAUCAGAGAUGGCGCUUAUCCUCCACCAGGGGUCCACUGUGAGCCAAAUCAAGGGUGUGGGAGUUGUGCAUAAAAGAAGAGCAGGAACAAGAAAGCGUCUGGGGAAGAGGCAGUUAUGGAGGCCAGCAUCGUGUGGGCCCAUAUGAAUUGAGCUCAGGAGCUGGUGGCUGCUGUGUAUUCUCUGACUGCUGAGGGCUGAGAAUAGAAGCAGGUGGUUUGUUGGCGGCUGGGUGGAGGAACUAGAAAUGCAUGGGUCCCGUCUUGCUCAAUAUUUUGUCCCAGAACCCUUGAAAAAUGAACUGUCCUCUCAGCAUGGUGGUCUUGUCUGGCCUGCCACUGGGCAAGCUUCUUGCAGGUGGGACUACCCUGGAUGCUCACCACUUGGUUAAGCCCUGUGCACCCCAGGAUAACAAUCUCCUGUUCCCCUUGCCAUCUGGGUCCACUCUGGCUGCUCUCCAGGAAGACUCUGGCUUGGUCUCCUCACCCCUCUGGCAUGCUCAAGGCUCCUGUCCUUUCUACCCAGCUGGCCUCACCCAGAGGCUACACCUGCAGGCCAGCUGUGCUCCUGUGUUCACAGCUGUGUGUUGCAAAAAGCCCUGGAGCUCCAGGUUACAAGAUGAACUUGGGAUCCCACAGAUGGGAUCUCAACGCAAUCAUCCCACACCCCCCUCCCCAACCACCCCCGUCACUCGGUCCCCUUUUCCCCAGCCCCUUGGCUCAAGGGGACACAGAUCCUAGGUCCUCUCUGUCUGCUUCCUCUCUCCCGUGAACCUCCAGGGACCUCCAGGUCCACUAAAAUCCCUUCCUUGGCUCCUGAUGCCUGGGAUGUAAGAAAGGACGGAGACCUGUGAGUUUAUGUGCAGACUACCUCACAAGUUUCAGGGGCAGGGUGGAGGGGCAAAGAAUAGAAGUCCCUGGCUGGGCCGCUUGGGAACGAAGCCCGCUGCUCGCUGCUCGACGGGACUCGACCUGGGAUUUUCUUG